UUCUCUGUAAGUACAAAUUAAGUUCAUUUUGUGCACCAUGUUGGAGGACCAUUCCUUCUCAGUGAAUACACAAAGAAGCCAAAAUUAAGUUUGCCACUGGUCUGUCAGGUAUGGGCUCCUGCUUCUGGCUGAGAGCAACAGCUGAACUCCGGACAAUAGUGAAAAUCUCCCAGGUACACAAAGAGGGGAAGAGUACAUCUGGACCAAGACAAAUCUGAUACAGAGUCACAGAGGUUUGGGGUAUUCAUCGGGUUUGAGGACGCUUCUUUAAAUGAUUAUACUUAUCAUAAGGGUGAUAUAGCUGGGGAGAGCUACCAUGGUUAUCAUGAUUUUCCUUUCUCCUGUAUGCUCAACAUUUUUUGUGAGUUUUGUCUUAAAUACAUGCAUCUGAUAACUUGAA
This is a long non-coding RNA of Cygnus olor (mute swan), 400 nucleotides long. RefSeq lists it as uncharacterized. The record is from RefSeq and is a predicted model, not a curated record. NCBI's taxonomy places the organism in Eukaryota, Metazoa, Chordata, Aves, Anseriformes, Anatidae. The transcript is spliced from 3 exons.